This 425-nucleotide ribosomal RNA is filed under the name uncultured bacterium. Its description in RNAcentral is "bacterial SSU rRNA". It matches the Rfam family "Bacterial small subunit ribosomal RNA", at positions 354 to 796 of the family's 1533-position model. The record is from RNAcentral.
GUGGGGAAUAUUGGACAAUGGGCGAAAGCCUGAUCCAGCCAUGCCGCGUGAGUGAUGACGGCCUUAGGGUUGUAAAGCUCUUUCGCCAGGGAUGAUAAUGACAGUACCUGGUAAAGAAGCCCCGGCUAACUUCGUGCCAGCAGCCGCGGUAAUACGAAGGGGGCUAGCGUUGUUCGGAAUUACUGGGCGUAAAGCGCGCGUAGGCGGAUCAUUAAGUCAGGGGUGAAAUCCCGGGGCUCAACCUCGGAAUUGCCUCUGAUACUGGUGGUCUUGAGUCCGUGAGAGGUAAGUGGAACUCCGAGUGUAGAGGUGAAAUUCGUAGAUAUUCGGAAGAACACCAGUGGCGAAGGCGGCUUACUGGCACGGUACUGACGCUGAGGUGCGAAAGCGUGGGGAGCAAACAGGAUUAGAUACCCUAGUAGUCC